ACUCCUACGGGAGGCAGCAGUGGGGAAUAUUGGACAAUGGGCGAAAGCCUGAUCCAGCCAUGCCGCGUGUGUGAAGAAGGUCUUCGGAUUGUAAAGCACUUUAAAGUUGGGAGGAAGGGCAGUAAAUUAAUACUUUGCUGUUUUGACGUUACCGACAGAAUAAGCACCGGCUAACUCUGUGCCAGCAGCCGCGGUAAUACAGAGGGGUGCAAGCGUUAAUCGGAAUUACUGGGCGUAAAGCGCGCGUAGGUGGUUCGUUAAGUUGGAUGUGAAAUCCCCGGGGCUCAACCUGGGAACUGCAUUCAAAACUGUCGAGCUAGAGUAUGGUAGAGGGUGGUGGAAUUUCCUGUGUAGCGGUGAAAUGCGUAGAUAUAGGAAGGAACACCAGUGGCGAAGGCGACCACCUGGACUGAUACUGACACUGAGGUGCGAAAGCGUGGGGAGCAAACAGGAUUAGAUA
This 460-nucleotide ribosomal RNA is filed under the name uncultured bacterium. RNAcentral's name for it is "bacterial SSU rRNA". It matches the Rfam family "Bacterial small subunit ribosomal RNA", at positions 335 to 784 of the family's 1533-position model. The record is from RNAcentral.